This is a long non-coding RNA of Dromaius novaehollandiae (emu), 6344 nucleotides long. RefSeq lists it as uncharacterized. The record is from RefSeq and is a predicted model, not a curated record. NCBI's taxonomy places the organism in Eukaryota, Metazoa, Chordata, Aves, Casuariiformes, Dromaiidae. The transcript is spliced from 2 exons.
UGUUGUCUUUUCUGGUUUCAGCUUUCCAAAAAACCAUUCAGUGAUAAGCUUGGCUUUCAUUUAAUAUGUCCCAUGUCUUCCCUUAUAUGCUCUAUAACUUACGGCUAUUUUUUGGCUUAAUAUUCUUCUGUAGGCUGCAAAUUGUUUUGAUUUGCUUUCUACAAUACUGUGUGCUGAUUUGGAGAAAACAAUGCUGCUUAUUUGAGCAGGUGUUUUGAUUUGGGAGAGGGGAAAAAGAAAACAAUUUUUCUUGUGUGUCUGGCUAGACACCUAGAAUGAUCGGAGUAAUGUUUCUAUAUUGCUGUGGGUUUUUUGUUUGUUUAUUUUGUUUUGGUUUUUUUGAGUUGGUACCCAAACUAUGGGGGUAGUAAGAGUUUAAAGUUAACAACUAUAUUACAGAGAAAAAUUGACAGUAAGGAGAAAGCUUAGGGAAACUGGAAAAGAUAGAAGUAGCAGGAAAUAUAGUUGGCAGACAGAUGGUGCAACUUGCUUUCUUUUUGAAAAGCAGAAGUAUUGGAGGCAAAUGGAUUUUGAUUGUUAACACCCUGUAUAAACUCAUAUAUAAACUCUUAAGCAGUAUUAUUUGAAUGUCUCUUUUAUAUAAACUGCAGUGAAUUUGGAUGUUUUUUAGAGAAUAGCUACUUUCAUUAUCUGUAACUAAAACUCUUACUUAUAGCUUGAUUAAUGUUUGACAUCCUAAAUCAACUUUUAUUUAAGUGUAUUGAAUACUUUCAUCAUAUUGCCAAGUGAAUGACCAAAUAGUCCUCUGUGGUACCCUUGUCAUCAAAGGCAGCUUUGAGGCGGACAUGACAUGUUCCCUUUUUAGAGGGUUUGGUUGUGUAUAUUGCAUUCUCAUGACAGCAGCUUGCUUUUGGAGAAAAAUGUAGUGGUAAUAAAAGUCUGCAUGUGCUAUUUGGAUAUGCCUUCAUGUCUGUCUUUCCUUCAAGCACUUGUAUCCUUAAAGAGGAUCCUUCAGCUGAUUUCUUUUCUACACUGAAAGCUUUCUGUGUUUUAUUGAUUGAAAAUGUAACUUCUCUGAACUAAAUAUGGUUGCAGGAACAGAUUCCGAUAUCUUGGUUAUGCUGGAUUUGUUUUGGUCUCAUAGGUUUUUGAAUGUCUGAUGGUCUGUCUAUUCCUUAUUUAAAUUAUGGGGAGCAGAUGUUAUGGCUUCAAGCAAACAAAAGCCUGGACAUACUGUAGCACAAGGUUUUGGGCUUUCUUUGUGACCCAGGCACACAAGCUUCUUUUCUAGCUCUGAAUCGGUUUAAAACAUGUCUCUCUUCCCCCCACCCCCCCCCCAAUCUCUCUUUCCUUCUCUUUGUUGGAGCGUUAGUGUCAUUCACAAUAGCUCAGGAUAAGCUGUAUGCCUUUGCAAUGGGCAGCCAUCUGAAAGGUGCAGAAAAAUUCUGCCCACAAAGUGUUUAUUAAUUAAAAAGGAAUUACAAGUGUCUCUUUGUAAUUUAAAUGGAUUUAGCCGCAUCUAUUAUUUUAUCAGGAUACUGUUCUAGUUUUUUUUCAUAGAAAUGUAUUUUCUUUUUUUAAUGUAAACCAUUGAUUAUGGAGAAAACAGAUAUUUUCAAGUAAAUCUUAAACAUAUGCCUGGAGUGUAAGUAACUCUUUGAAGGUACUUAACCCAAUAAUGCCUGCUUAGGUUUUUGGGAACUCAUGCAAGUAUUUGGGGCAUUUUUAAUCUGUGCAGCAAAUAUAGGUUUGAUAUGUUGCCGAUUGAGUUAUGCUUCAGAUAACGAUUCAAACGAUAUGAAUUCAAGCAGGGCAUAAUUCUGUAUUAAAAUCAGAAUUAAACAUCGGUAGUGUUAAAGAUGUGUGUUUGGUGCUGCAUAUUAAAUUUCAGAGUUUUUCUUUUCAGCUGAUUAUACUGUGUUAAGAAAAUACUGGACCAUAAUGGGUUUCAAGCUCCUUGGGGCAGGGAAGGCAUAUUUCUACAUAUUUUGUGGAGCAUGUUACACAGUGGGACUCAGAUCUUGAUUAUAGAUUUCUGGGCUGUAGCAUGGUAUAUGUUUGUAGGAGCAUUGUAACUUGGAGCGCUACAUUUAUGUCAUUGGGAGCUGUAGUCCACUGUUUUUCCUUUAAUGUGCUGGCACUCAGCAAGGUUAAUUCAGUGGGUACCUUUUCAUUUGGUUAUAGAACUUGGCAAGUGCUGUGGCUGAAGAACAUGCUUUCUCUUUGUUGCUGAGUUUGUAAACAUUCUUACAUAGCUGUAUCUUGUUCCUCAGCACUCAGAGCCCUGCUGGCUUUUGUUUUCCACUUCAGUUAGUUUUCCUCUCUUUCUCUGAAUGUACAAGACUUGAAGUCUUGAAUCUUAAGAAAGCUCCCUCCUGUUACAGUGCUUUGAGACCAGCUGACCCAACGGUAUUGUCAUUCUCUGUAGUGGGACUCUUGGGAAGCUGGUGGAUUGCUAACUGAAAAAUGUGAUCCCUCAAGAGGGUAAGGAUAGCUCUUGUGGUUCCUGGGUGAAAAAUAUGUUUGGUAGUGCAUCUGUGAGGGCUUUAUUUUGGUUGCACUGAGAAGUAAGUUAGAAGCAGUUCAUGGUUGCUUUAAGCCAGUCUAAAAGUGGCCUGCUACUGAAAAAAUCGUCCUGCCUCCUCACUUAAUUGUGUAAUUUGCUACGUGGACUGCCAAAUUUGAGGAACCUUUCUGUCUGACAAAACAUCACAAAAGUCAGUAUUUUGCACUCAUUAGAUGAUAAAUCCCUGUCAGCACAACAUAGGUGACACAGUUCCCAUCUGGGAAAGCUCAGCUAUAGAUCAGGAGGGAUAUGGGUACACGGAACUGUCUACAUACAAAGUUUGUACUGACUAUUGUAUUGUCUGCUUGCACUACCGAUGCUCUGAUGGUGAGAUGUUUUAGUAUACUUUGAGUAAAAAAAAUGCUAUUGUUAAUAUUGGCCAACACAGAACCCAACUUUACCUCUUUGCACUUUCUGUAGGUAUUUUAUACUUGAUAUAAGUAUGUGCUGUUGGCCCCAAGUUUGCGAUUUUUGGUUCUAACUGUAUAUUCUUAUAACUUAGAUGGGAUUUAUCCUGCUCUUCUGCACUACUUGCCUUAUGAAGGAAAAUCUGGAAAGGAGAGCGAGUCUAAGCAAAAUUUGUAUCACUUAUUUUGGUACCAGUGAUCUUGUAGAGUUCGUUACUGAACUGCAAAUCUUUAAUUAAUGAUAUGUAAAUAUAUUGUAAUGAUCACAUUUGCAUACUGAGUGAAGCUUCAGUACCUUAGGUUGUGAUGUAUUUUAAUUAAAGAUUAAUUAGAAAUGAUGGGAAUUUCACUUUGCUUAGUAUAAUUAUUUUACAUAUUUGAUGAAUAUCUUGUAGCUGAUGUGCCAGGAAAUGCACAAUAUUAUAUUAGUACAUCUGACAGGAGUGGCUCUUAAGGCUUUUUGAUCCACAGUAGGGUUUUUUUAAGCUUUCAUAAAAGUGAUGGAUCGUGAAAGAUUUAAGCAUACUGUUAAGCAAGGGCUUUCUAAAUCAUGCUUAAAACAUUGACUAUGCCGUAACUGUUUUAGUGGAAGAGCGAGCACUUACUCAGCGUUCAGCUGUCCUCUCAACAGGUAGGAAAUAAAAUGGAUAAUUUAGUCUUAAUUUGUAUCUUCUUGAAGCUUGUAUUAAAAACAGCCAAAGAAUUACAUAGUUAAUGAGUUUCUAUAAUUCUGUGUGUGAACUGUUGGGAGUAGCUGUAUUUUUUUUUCCCUGAGGGUUUUAUUGUACCCCCACUUCAGUGCCUUAGUGUCGCGACUCAAAGCCUAGAAUGUUAAUUACGAGUCAUCAUAUGUUAUGUUUCUUAAACUACGGUGGGAAUUUCAAAAAUCUGAUUCCUUCCCCCCCCCCCCCCCCCCCGGUUAUUAGGGACAUGGUCAAAAUGCUGCCAAGAGGUAUGCUUUCUGGAGAAACAUUUUUUUCUGGCCUUCCUCUGAGUAUUGUGAGCCAGUAAGUAUUAAACAGUGCUUAAGGGUAGGCAUAUGUAACAUGUUGGCAUUAGUUCAGAUGCUUUUUUUAAUCCUGGUAACUCUUUUCUUUUGGAAUCCUUUUUGUUUAGUGAAAUCUAGUUCUGACAGAGGCCACAUAGACUGCAGACUCCUGCUGGCAUAAUUAUCAGGACUGUAUGCAGAAAUGUGAUGCCUGACCCAGAGAGCAUGCCAGAAAUUUGUAGGGUAAAUGUGGCUACCUCAACAACAUUUGUGCCAUUACAGCAUAUACUUCUGGAAUCAUUUUUACUAGACUUUCAAAAUGCCGUUUUCUGGUAUCUUGUGAUGGUGCACGUUCUCGUUUCCUUGCUCACAGUCUAUGCACUAGGUGGGUCAGUAAGAUUAGGAAAACUGCAGCCGAAACUCUUAAGCUCUUGGCUGGUCUCCAGGGUAAAACGCAUACAGUAAGGCCUUAAUAACUGCUUUUAUCUCAGUAGAAAAUGCAGGGAGCUUUAAAUAUUCUGUUGCUCAUUCGUGGAUUUUCCUAACCUGAGGUGGAGGGAAGUGCAUUGACCAGUGGAUUUUUGUGAUGUUUCCAUUGAGUGCUGUCCUACAAAGUCGUGAAUGCCGACAUUGCCUUUAAGCAUAUUGGACAAACAAAUGUGUGUGGUGAGCACUGGUGGCAGGGGGUGAGACUGGCCUACAUUUAAACAACAACAAAAAAGAAAAGUAGCUGCUGCUUAACAAAGACCAGCAAAGGGAAUGAGUACUGCUAAUAUUUUGGUAGUUUGUUUUGAAGAAUUUCCGACUUCUUCAGUAACAAAGGGACUGUUUGUUAUAUCCAGACAGCGUCAUUGACCAAAGGGACUCAAAGGUUGUAGCUAGCUAAAUAGCCUUGCACAAGCUGCUUUGAACAUAGCACUCCUCAGUGGCCACAGUUUUGCACUCCCAUGUUGUCAUCUUUUGGUAAAGAAAUGAAUAUAGCUGUUGUACUUGAAAAUUUGAAUGGGAUACUAGUUACAGCAACCAUAGUUAUGAAUUCAUUGAAAGGUAGUUUUAAGUGAAUCUAUUGUAACUUGUGAUCUGUACAAAUAUCAUUAGCUGAAAAGAUGAUACAAGGAAUAAAAAGUAAAGUUCAAGCCAAAGUAUCCUUCAAGGAGUUAAUAGCUUUAAUUUAAGAGUAAUAUCUGUGGCAAUGAUUCCUAUAGAACUUGUAUUUUAACUGCAAUGUAAAUUAAGGUAUAAUUAUGCCAAAAAAUGUUUAAAAUCAACCUGAUGCAGUCAGUUAAAAAUACUGAGCUUCUUAUACUCAUUGAUUCUUAGAUCUGUUCAUCUUCAUAGUGUUCCCCUAAAUAAACAUUUGAACCACUAGUUUGGAAAUGCAGUUUACGAGAUGUUAAUGAUAGUUAACUCCUCUUUAGUUACUUGUGACUUACUAGAGCUAGCCAAUCAGAUUCUUCCCCUGAGAUGGUAGAAGUGUUUUUAUACGUGCUUUUCAACAGUCAACUUGAGAUGAGCUUAUGUGUAAUUGAUGAUAACUAAUGUCUAAUUACCAUAAUUAGACAAGUGACAUAAAAUUAAGCUGCAGCUGGGAGCUUGACUUCAACAUGAGGUACUCUGAUAUGCAUCAUAAUGUGCAUAAAAAGAGGGUUGGCAGAAGUGCAUUCAAAUAAGAAUGUGACACACAAAUAUCUGUUCCAUUUUAUACUUGCCAGUCCCACAGAUAGUUUAAUGUGAAUUUUAUUAAAAAGACUUGGCAGCAAAUGACCUCUGGCAUGCUCUUUAAUGGGUCAAGGCCUUUCGGAAAAUGGCAACUGGCAAUUUUAAAAGUCAGACGCUUUCUACAUUUGUUUUGUUUCCUUAAAUGUUCAUUCAGUAAGGUACCAUCAGAUGUAUGGUAUUUUUGAAGAUAUAUUAGUUUUAAUUCCAUAAUGACUUAGAAAAGCCACUAACUUUUUAAAUACUCAACAGUUCCCUUAUUAUCUUGAAUUGAACAGUUGCACAUAAUGGAAAUCCCAUUUACUACAUUGUACCUACCUCUGCUUUACCUUUUUCUACUUGCAAUAAGACUGGGGAUGUUUUGGAGAAGACCUUGAUUACUGUGACAGCAAAAGCCUGUAGCUGUCCCAAAUUACCUCUUCAGAACUGUGUAGCAACUUCUGUAUAGCCUGCAAAAUGUCAGAGUUCAACAAUGCUGUCUUUGCAAUCUGGUACUGAUUACUGUUGAGGACCGUCCAAGAAGCCGUGCAGUAGGCUGAUACGUGGUAAUCUGCUCUGUAAGAAUCUUGUUCUAAUUUUCACAGACUGCCUGGAGUGCUAGUGUGAAGUUUUAAAUCUCUUCUAAACUUGUAUGUAGUGCAGACUAUAGUGACUCUGAGUACUCUUUUUAUCCGUAUGCAUCUGAAAACUCUCCUUACGCUUCGUU